Molecule: long non-coding RNA, 255 nt
Filed under: Carica papaya (papaya)
Lineage: Eukaryota; Viridiplantae; Streptophyta; Magnoliopsida; Brassicales; Caricaceae
Description: long non-coding RNA (CPAP_LNC008104)
Source: RNAcentral
GCUUUCUAAAUUUAGCUAUAUUGUGAGAGAUAGACCUUUCAGCUGUUCGGCAUUCCGAGGCAUGCUAUUGACAAGGGUUGAUUUGGUUCUGUCCUACAGCUGCGGUCAAUCCUUUGAUAGCUCGGAAGAGUUUGGUAAAAUCGAUCCUGGUUGGAUGGAUGUAGGCCUCGGAUCUUUCGGUACAUUCUACGGAAGGUCUCCCUCGCAUCAUUCCUAAAAAAAAAAAAGACACAAGUUGGUGAUCUAGUUUGAAAA